This 492-nucleotide ribosomal RNA is filed under the name uncultured bacterium. Its description in RNAcentral is "partial 16S ribosomal RNA". It matches the Rfam family "Bacterial small subunit ribosomal RNA", at positions 29 to 507 of the family's 1533-position model. The record is from RNAcentral.
AGUGAACGCUGGCGGUAGGCCUAACACAUGCAAGUCGAACGGCAGCACAGUAAGAGCUUGCUCUUACGGGUGGCGAGUGGCGGACGGGUGAGGAAUACAUCGGAAUCUACUUUUUCGUGGGGGAUUACGUAGGGAAACUUACGCUAAUACCGCAUACGACCUACGGGUGAAAGCAGGGGAUCUUCGGACCUUGCGCGUUUGAAUGAGCCGAUGUCGGAUUAGCUAGUUGGCGGGGUAAAGGCCCACCAAGGCGACGAUCCGUAGCUGGUCUGAGAGGAUGAUCAGCCACACUGGAACUGAGACACGGUCCAGACUCCUACGGGAGGCAGCAGUGGGGAAUAUUGGACAAUGGGCGCAAGCCUGAUCCAGCCAUACCGCGUGGGUGAAGAAGGCCUUCGGGUUGUAAAGCCCUUUUGUUGGGAAAGAAAAGCAGCAGGUUAAUACCCCGCUGUUCUGACGGUACCCAAAGAAUAAGCACCGGCUAACUUCGUG